RNAcentral lists this long non-coding RNA (3469 nucleotides) under Canis lupus familiaris (dog). Its description in RNAcentral is "lncRNA (ENSCAFG00000054434.1)". Lineage: Eukaryota; Metazoa; Chordata; Mammalia; Carnivora; Canidae. The record is from RNAcentral.
AGCUUAGUGGCACAACACACAACCAUGUCAUGUUUAUGCAGGUCAGAAAUUUGGACAGGGCACAGCUCAGGGGAGUUGGUCUCUGCUCCCUGAAGUCUGGAGCUUCUGCAAGCGAGGCCCAAACAGCUGAGAGUGCAGCUUGGAGUGAUCCUCUCACCCAUGUUCCCAGGAUUAGUCUAGGAAUGAGGUUGUGCUGGACAAGGCAGGCUGCGAUCUCUCAUUGUCAUGAUUCCUGGACGUUUCUUGGAGCAGGAAAAGGAGGAUAAAGCCAUCUAUGGCCUCGGGAGCCGAGGGCAGUCUGAUCAGGAUCAGCUCUCUCCUGCCUUUCUAUACGGUGGCCGGUGGUCGUGCAGCCCUGCCUGUGCAGCUACCUAGCAGGCAAGCUGGGCGCUGGGCUUCAUCUCCCGCCCAGCCUCACCAGGCUCCAGCAGGCCAGCCUGUCAGACCCAGCGGGUGAGAGAUUGGCCUUUUUGCUGGAGUUGUACCAAGAAUUUCUCCAGCCCCCUUUGCCAGAAUGCAUGUUUCCAAUUAUGCAAAGCUUCAGGAAAAGCUGACUUCCUUUUGAAUGGUGAAAUAAAAAACGUGGGGUUCUCUGGGAAAGCACCACCAUCACUUCGCCAACGAGGCCCGGUGGAAUGAGGCAAGGGCAGUCCCUGCCCGUGGUCCCCACUGGACUCCCUCCAAACCAGCAGCGGGGCUGCACGCUGUAGCUUGCAUUUUGUACACUCACUUUUUUCCCAUUUGCAAGAUCAGAAUGUGGCUGUCUGCUGUAGAGAAAUGGUCCUUGUGGUCAUAGUGUAUGGGGUAAAUGGCUGGAGGCAGGAGGCUACAUGAGUGCGCCCCAUACACACACCUUGGCUUUUCUAAGGCAACCUAGAAGUAAGAGUCUGGUUUGGGGGUGCCAGGUACAAACCUUAAUGUCAAGUGGCCUGGUAAGGAGCUGUUUAUAUGGGAUGACCCUCUCCUUCCCCCUCUCCCCCUUACCCACUCAGAGUCCCAGCCCUCCCCUCUCCCUCUGAGGGCCACCCCCUUCAAGCCUUUGGCUAGGAUAUGUUCUUUCUCCCUUUCUAUCUGUUCCCUGCCCCUUCCUCCCCUCCCCAUUACAUAGACUCACACUGAGAUUUCUACAAACACCAAAACGAGCAUGGAAGUUUUGAGGGGCCCAGAGAGGAUGUCUGCCAUCCUUUGCUGUCUCACAGACUGAUUUCUUCUAGCAAGCAGCCUCGUAUCCUCCAGGCCCACUUCAGUUUCUUGUAGGCUGAGGGCCAAAGUGACGGUGCCAAAUCCAAAGUAGAGUUAAUCCUAGAUCACCCUCCCUCCCACUGACGGUUUCCGCUGAGCAAAUUUUUCAUACCAUUGCUUAACAGACUUGAACUCCAUCCCCCACACACCCUCCUCCAGUCAGCCAGUUGCUGCUAAAAUGGGGAACACCCACCAUGUUAACUACUCAUCUGAGGGGGAGAAGACAGAAUGGGGGUCGAGAAAGACUUCAGCAAGCCUCUGGGGCUUGUACUGGGUUUUAAGAGAUCUUUCAGGACUUUCUUUUAAGGCUUUAAGGUGCCUCGGGGGAAGUGUUUGUGGGGUGGGUAGACUGAGAGAAAACAGACUUUCUGGGCAGAGAGGGUGAGAAAGGUCCUGGGCAGAGAUGAGAUCUCAUAGUCUGGUCCAGGAGCAGAAUAGCAUGGAGCUCAUCAUGCCAGAGUGUAGGAUGGGAGUGGGGCGCAGGUCAAAGGUGAGGCUGCAGAAGAAGCCAGGGCACAUCAUCAAGGUCCCUGUGUGUAAUGACAAGGAUCUGGGACUCAGUCUUAUGGAAUAAAGGAAUCACUGAGGAUUUUUAAUCAGGAGAGAUUUACAUUUCUCAGAGAUGUAUGGAGGAAGACAUUAUUGGGAGCAGAGCAUCUCUUGGGAAACUCUUGUAACGAUAGUCCAAAAAAGAGAUGAAGAUCCUCAGGGCCAAGGCUUCAGCAAUUUUUGGGUAAAAAGGGAAAACCGACUAAGAAGGGGUAUUUAACAUGCAGAAUGCACAGGCCAUCAUGAGUGACUGCAUCUGAGGUUAGGAUAUGGUUAUGCCCAGGUUUUCUGGCUCAGGGGCCAGGUAAUUAAUAGCACCAUUAAUUCAUAGAGAUAGGAAAUGCUAGAAGAGCAGAAGGUUUGGGAAAGCCCACGAUAAGUUUGGUCAUGGACAUGUGCAGUUGGGGUGCCUGUAGGACAAGUAAGUGGACAUGGAUUUUUUGUUUUUUUGGUUUUUUUUUCAGUCUAGAGUUUGGAAAAAGUGUCCAGUCCAUGCCUUGGCCCAUGCAUCCCAGAAUCUAACCCGGUCCUCUUUCCAUUCACUUCAAACUACUCUCACCCACCUAGUCAGUUGGAACGAUCUGGGAAGUCAUGUGGACAGUAUAUGUUAAUUUUUGUUGUUGUUUUUUGUUUUGUUUUGUUUUGUUUUGUUGACAGUAUACGUUUAAUACCUAGACACCAAACUUGUGUGAAACUCUCCAACCCUCACCUACUUACCCCAUGCCACUUAUCUGCCAUCUAACAAGAGGAAAUAUCUCUUAAGCUCUUGGGUGUCUCUACCAGUGAAUGGUAGGAUUUUAUGUAGCUACAGCAUAUCUGGAAUGAAAGAGUUAUGGUUUUUUGAUGGUGGUGGUGUUUCAGGGGUAUCUUCUGGAACUUAAUGUGUCACACAACCUGGAGCAGACAGAAAUUUAUGUACAUAGCUCAGUAGACUAGAAAUAAGCUAGUAUACUCAAGAACUGCAAAUAGAUGUGUGUGAGGAGGUGGGAUAAGAAGGGUAGAUAGGAGCCAGAACUUGCAAGGUCUUAUAAAUCAUGUUAAAGAGUUUGGAGCAGGAAAGUGACAUAAUCAAAUUUAAACUUUAGAAAGAUUAUUCUAAAUGCAAGAUUGGGGCAGAAGAGAGGGGCUGUCCUGACAGCUGGAAGAUGAGGUAGGAAGAAGCCAUUAUGAUAGUUCAGGCAAGGUAACUACCUGGUCUAGGGUGGUAGCUGUGAGAACAGACACAAGUGGAGAGAUUCAAGGGCUUUUGAGGAGAUGGAAACUAUAGUAUUUGAGUAGUAAGGCUCCUAAAGCUCUUUGUCAGCAUUGUCAACUAUGAUAUCUACCUACCGGAUCCUACCUACCUAUCCUACCUGGCAAGAUGGGAUCCCAAAGCUAUGAAUCAGUUUGUCCUGUGGUCUAAUGGUCAUAUACAGGUGACUAGUCUCCACACUUGACUGUAGGGUGAAUGUAGCAGGAUAGCAGCUAACAGCAAGAUCUCUAAAGGAGCCAGGACACAACAACACAAGCCUUUGGAGGCCACCUAUUAUUGCUUAUAUUAUGCAUGUGAAAGACCAUUUUCAAAAUGUGGUCAGGAGAGACAAAAGAAAUAAAAUAUGAAGACCUUUUCAUCUACUUGGAACAGCUAAUAUGAGCAUAAAUAGCAAAAUGAAAUGAUAGAAUGAGAUUUUAAAGGAGA